GUCUAUGGCUAUGCUACCCUGAACAAGCCCAAUCCCGUCUGAUUGUCUGAUCUUGGAAGCUAAGCAGGGUUGGGCCUGGUUAGUACUUGGAUGGGAGACCACCUAGGAAGACCAGGUGCUAUAGGUG
This 127-nucleotide ribosomal RNA is filed under the name Pteropus alecto (black flying fox). The record is from RNAcentral. Lineage: Eukaryota; Metazoa; Chordata; Mammalia; Chiroptera; Pteropodidae.